RNAcentral lists this long non-coding RNA (1235 nucleotides) under Lathyrus oleraceus (garden pea). Its description in RNAcentral is "Pisum sativum (pea) long non-coding RNA (PSAT_LNC020446)". The record is from RNAcentral. Lineage: Eukaryota; Viridiplantae; Streptophyta; Magnoliopsida; Fabales; Fabaceae.
CGCGUUCAGCUAGGUCACAUGAGACAUGCACCUUCAGCCACAACUCUGCCGCGUUGAAAAUCGCCUCCAGCGACGGCGGAGGUCCAACCAUGCUCAAACCUAUACCAAUUUGUUCAUCUUCAUAUCCUCUUUCACAAUCUCACAUAGAUUUCCCUAAAUUCAAAAGCCUACAUUAUGAAUUGUGCCAAACAAGACUUAAACCCUUAGAUUUCAAAACAAAAUUAAAUAUCACCGGGGAGGAAUCAAAGCCUAAAACGUUAGGGCUUUGAUUCCUCACACCUAAUUCUACAUGGUGGUAAGAGUUUCAAUGUGUAUCAAGGAAGAACAUGGAUAUUACCUCCAAAGCUUGUUGGAAUUGAAGGAGGUGAAACUGAAGAGAGAGAGAUCCAGAGGAGAUCGUGUAAUCCUUCAAACCUCUAUUCUUUGUUUGUCACAAAUUAUUCCUCUUCUCCUUCUCAAUUCUUGCUAUGUGUUUGUUAUUUAUUUGCCUUCUGUGUGUGUGAGAAUGUGAGAAUAUUGAUUGAGAGUGUAUAGAGAAUUGAGAGAAGGUGAGAGCUUGUGAUGUUGAUUUGUGAAACGUUAUGAUUGGUAGAGUGUGAAGUUGAAGAUCCCCGCAACAAAAAGAAAACCUUGAUUGAAGAGUGAUUGGAGAUUUAUAAGGUUUGAGUCUCAACUAACUAGGGCAGAGAUCAGGCAACGAUUGUUAGGUGUUAGGGCAGGGUUAACUCUGUUAAUUGAAUCCAAAGAGAAAGACAGUUAAAGAAUAUAACUAUGUUAAGUCUCUGUUAAAUAUUAGUUUAAAGUUUGUUAUUUUCUAUUAGCGUAAACUAUGAAUUAGCUAAUGGCUCAAAUUUUAAUUGAUGAAGUCUUGUGUUCCGUUAGUUAGGGCUUUAGAUUGUGGAAAGAAGUUAGUUAUAGACAAAAAAAUGGUUAGGAAGUUGAUGUUAGAAGUAUAGUAAGUUAGUUAUGAAAUGAAGCUGACAGUUAGGAGGUUAUGGAAAUUGGUUAUGUUAGUUUGUUGCUAAUUUGAAAGUUGAAAGGAGUUAACUAUGGUUGGUGAGUGUUAGUCUUUAUUAUAGUAGAAACUUGUUAAAAGUAUUAUGAGGUUAUAGUUAGAAUUUGAAUAGUUAGUUUCUAAUGGACUUGGUUAAUUGAAAAAUAAGAAUUAAAUUGACUUGAUGAAUCAAAUAGCCAUGCUAAUGAACUGUUAAUUAUUUUGAUAGAAUUAUAACACU